AUUGCACUCGGUUCUUCAAAAAUGUUCUGUGGAUGCUCACGACACAAUGCAGAGGCAUGUUUAUAACAUGUGAUGUAACUAAAAAAUUCUAGAAGUUGAACGUGUAAGGUUUUUAACAUAUUUACUUUUCUUGAAAGCAUUGGUGAGUUCAAAAAGCGUCUUCAGCUUCUUUUUGCCUUCCAUGGUCACAUCAGCACCGAGAUUUGUCAGAAAUCUAAUUCAAGUCUUGGCCAUGAGGAUAAUGUGAAGAUUUUGUGCAAUACUUUUGGCUACUACAUACAGUUCUUGCCGAUUAUUAUGGAGCAAUUAGCAUCUAACAGAAAGAAUAUUGUGGAAGAAUUGAAAGAAAAGUUGUGCAAAUGGGAACGUAAUGAGUGGUAUAUGACAAUGGAGACUUCAAAGCGGACCCGUGAGAAAUUUAAAAAGUUGAUUCAGAAGUAUACUGAUGUGCUGAAGCAACCUCUAAUGUUUAUUAUCAAUCAAGCAACUGGUCAAAGUGGAUUAAAAACACUAGCAACUAAUAAUCGAACAUUGUUUUGUAAUUCUUUUGUGAAAUAUUAGCCAGUUCUGGAUGUUGCUUGCCAAGUAAUACAUUUGGGAAACGAAAAGAGGUUCAUAUGGCCUUCCACUUGGAGAAAUAAAGUGGAUCUUGCACUGGAAGAUAUGCGAGCCACAGAUUUCAAAAAGCCUAACUGCACAUGUGUCCUAUUGCAUGAGGCAGAAGAUAUUAUCCUGAAGUCCAUAGAUAUUUUAUUUUCAAGUGAUGUGACAAAGGAAGAGUGGGACGAAAUCCAAUACACAUUUAAAAAAAUAAGCACAAAUAUUAUUGAUUGUGGUGAACUUUGGAAGGAAGAGAAAAAGAGUUUGCCAAAAAGACGGGCUCUAGCCGAACUACCAAAACUUCUCGACAGUUAGUGGAUUAGCUAAGCAUAGACCUGCAUCCAAUGAGGCCCGCACAAGGGUGGUGUUCUGAUAGGCUCGUUCAAGGGUGGUUUCCUGACUAUUGCAGUGGAUUGCAUGCUGCAACUGCUCAAAAUGAAGUUCAAUGUGGGAUGACACUUGUCUUACGACCUAAAGGUAUUGACUUGAAGGAUUUUUUUGUUUUUUGCUGCUCUUAGUGCCAAAUCACAGGGGAAAGAUGUUGGUGUUACAGAAUGUGAAGGGGGCGCUACUACUAAAUUUCAUGGAAUGCACCUAGUUAGUUUGCUAGAGAUGGUUGGGUCGAGUAAUGGGUAUUUUUUGCGCUGGUCAAGAUGGGUUGAGUUGGGUUUGGGAAUACCUGCAAAUUUCGAAACAGAACAACUUAGGAUGUUUUCUUUUUGUCCUAGGGUAACUUUUGACUUAUUUUUGUCACUGUUGGAAGCCAAAUAAAGGGUCUUGGCGAUCUGAUCUUGGAGUUCA
This is a long non-coding RNA of Helianthus annuus (common sunflower), 1401 nucleotides long. RefSeq lists it as uncharacterized. The transcript has 7 exons. The record is from RefSeq and is a predicted model, not a curated record. NCBI's taxonomy places the organism in Eukaryota, Viridiplantae, Streptophyta, Magnoliopsida, Asterales, Asteraceae.